Molecule: ribosomal RNA, 371 nt
Filed under: uncultured Bacteroidota bacterium
Lineage: Bacteria; Pseudomonadati; Bacteroidota
Description: bacterial SSU rRNA
Rfam family: Bacterial small subunit ribosomal RNA
Source: RNAcentral
UAAUACGGAGGGUGCAAGCGUUAUCCGGAUUUAUUGGGUUUAAAGGGUCCGUAGGCGGAUCAUUAAGUCAGUGGUGAAAUCCGACAGCUCAACUGUCGAACUGCCAUUGAUACUGGUGAUCUUGAGUACGGUUGAAGUAGGCGGAAUAUGACAUGUAGCGGUGAAAUGCUUAGAUAUGUCAUAGAACACCGAUUGCGAAGGCAGCCUACUAAGCCGUUACUGACGCUGAGGGACGAAAGUGUGGGGAGCGAACAGGAUUAGAUACCCUGGUAGUCCACACCGUAAACGAUGAUUACUCGGUAUUGGCUUUAUUAUCAGUGCCCAAGCGAAAGUGAUAAGUAAUCCACCUGGGGAGUACGGCCGCAAGGUUG